RNAcentral lists this ribosomal RNA (374 nucleotides) under uncultured organism. Its description in RNAcentral is "partial 16S ribosomal RNA". It matches the Rfam family "Bacterial small subunit ribosomal RNA", at positions 527 to 896 of the family's 1533-position model. The record is from RNAcentral.
GUAGGUGGCAAGCGUUGUCCGGAAUUAUUGGGCGUAAAGCGCGCGCAGGCGGUCCUUUAAGUCUGAUGUGAAAGCCCACGGUUCAACCGUGGAGGGUCAUUGGAAACUGGGGGACUUGAGUACAGAAGAGGAAAGCGGAAUUCCAAGUGUAGCGGUGAAAUGCGUAGAGAUUUGGAGGAACACCAGUGGCGAAGGCGGCUUUCUGGUCUGUAACUGACGCUGAGGCGCGAAAACGUGGGGAGCAAACAGGAUUAGAUACCCUGGUAGUCCACGCUGUAAACGAUGAGUGCUAAGUGUUAGGGGGUUUCCCGACCCCUUAGUGCUGCAGCUAACGCAUUAAGCACUCCGCCUGGGGGAGUACGGCCGCAAGGCUG